RNAcentral lists this non-coding RNA (141 nucleotides) under Scleropages formosus (Asian bonytongue). Its description in RNAcentral is "Eukaryotic large subunit ribosomal RNA". It matches the Rfam family "Eukaryotic large subunit ribosomal RNA", at positions 2844 to 2984 of the family's 3401-position model. The record is from Rfam by way of RNAcentral. Lineage: Eukaryota; Metazoa; Chordata; Actinopteri; Osteoglossiformes; Osteoglossidae.
AUAACUGCUCAUAGCAAUGUCGCUUUUUGAUCCUUCGAUACUGACUCUUUCUAUCAUUGUGAAGCAGAAUUCACCAAACGUUAGAUUGUUCACCCACUAAUAGGGAAUGUGAGCUAGGUUUAGACUGUCGUGAGACAGGUU